This is a long non-coding RNA of Lutra lutra (Eurasian river otter), 947 nucleotides long. RefSeq lists it as uncharacterized. The record is from RefSeq and is a predicted model, not a curated record. Lineage: Eukaryota; Metazoa; Chordata; Mammalia; Carnivora; Mustelidae. The transcript has 3 exons.
UUUCGGUUGCUCUACUCCGUACACGAAUUCUAGGCCCACCCGGGCGAGGCGGAUUCCUGCCUGAUCUGGGAGGUCCCCGCCUAGUCGAAAACCCCAGGGCUCCCUCCCGGGCUGUGAGCAACGGGGACCACCAAUUCCUUGCCCCUCCAACCAGGAGACCUUCCCAGGCCUGACUGAAGUGUUUGCAAAGGCACAUGAGUGGGCUCGGAAAUGGAUGUCCCUGUUGGGUCAUCAGAUGAAAUUUCAGCCUCAUGGUCAAUGAUGGCAACUUCACGAGAGACCUCCCGAAGCCAGACCAUCCUGCUGAACUGCUCCCAGAUUGCUGACCUUCAGAAACUGGGAGAUAAGAGAUGUUUAUAGGUUUUUUUUUUUUUUUUGAGAUGUUUAUAGUAUUAGCCACUCAUUUGGGGGGUCCUCUGUAACAGAGCAGCAAUCAAUGAAUACGAACUUUGCUGCUUUUACAAUAGUGAUCGUUGAUAUGCAUUGGGACCUUUUAUUCUGUUCUAAUCACGAUCACUCACCAGGCCUGGGGUCCAGACUCUCUUACCUAGGCAGCAAAGUGCCUGUUUAGGGUCUCUGUUUCUUCGGUUUACAAUAUAGAUCGUAAUCCUGCCCAUCAAAAGGGCUGUCCUGAGGAUGAGAGGGAAUAAGAUAUUCUGAGUGCCUAUCGCAGCGCCCCCAACAGAGUGGCUUGUUAACAACAACAAAUGAAGCUAUUAUAAUUAACUAGGGAGAAAACGGGUUUUAAAUACUAUUUAUAAUUAAGGGGAUGACCCCAAUGAGACUUGAGAUAAUAGUUCAUCCCUGUGGUGUGGCUUAUUUCAGCCGUUGUUCCUCUUGCUUUAAAGCAAUUUGCAAUUGCUUCAAUGCCCACUUCUCCAAAACAACAGGAAUCUCUGCCAAGCACAGUGGCUUGGAGCUUUGAACCAUCUCCCUCCUGACCGUGG